GACGAACGCUGGCGGCGUGCUUAACACAUGCAAGUCGAACGGUGAAGCGCCUUCCUUUUUGGUGGGUGUGGAUGAGUGGCGAACGGGUGAGUAACACGUGAGUAACCUGCCCCCUUCUUCUGGAUAACCGCAUGAAAGUGUGGCUAAUACGGGAUAUUCUGGUUCUGUCGCAUGAUGGGUCUGGGAAAGAUAUUGUUUCGGUGGGGGAUGGGCUCGCGGCCUAUCAGCUUGUUGGUGGGGUGAUGGCCUACCAAGGCGGUGACGGGUAGCCGGCCUGAGAGGGUGGCCGGUCACACUGGGGCUGAGACACGGGCCAGACUCCUACGGGAGGCAGCAGUGGAGAAUAUUGUACAAUGGGAGCAAGCCUGAUGCAGCGACGCCGCGGGAGGGAUGGAGGCCGUCGGGUUGUGAACCUCUUUCGCCAGUGAAGCAGGCCUGCCUCGUUUGUGGGUGGGUUGACGGUAGCUGGAUAAGAAGCGCCGGCUAACUACGUG
This 494-nucleotide ribosomal RNA is filed under the name uncultured bacterium. Its description in RNAcentral is "partial 16S ribosomal RNA". It matches the Rfam family "Bacterial small subunit ribosomal RNA", at positions 28 to 507 of the family's 1533-position model. The record is from RNAcentral.